GGAGGGGCGGGUCUGAUGCCGCUGUGCCCCGCCUCCCCACCGGACGAGUCCAUUCCGCGGACGCACGGGGAGGUAGACAGAGAGCCGAGCAGAGGCCCGAGCACUGGGCCGCUCCCGUCCGCCCCUCAGCGAGGCCGCUCCCCAGGUCAGAAGGAACCGCCCACGCCUCUCCGCUCCCACGGUCCCCCCUCCGGACUCCUUGUACCCUCCCGUUCCCUUGGCAACGGCCAGUGACCUCACCCGGGUGGUAAGCCGAGCCCAGAGUGAAAGCACCGCUGUUGCUAUGGAGACCUAGGGGGUCGCCCAGGAAUUCCGGCCCCAACGGGGAUGGGUAAGACAGCUGGUUUUUGAAGGGGCCUUUGUAGCAAACUGGGAAAAGUGCAUGUCAGCCAGGCUGAUUCCACACUCAUCAGUGAUCUCCGAGAGGUCUUCAUCCUCAAACUCCUCCAGGCUGAUGUCGUGGGUGAGCCUGGUGAGGACAGAAACCAAGUUACAACCCAGGGGGCCCAAGCUGGCGUCUCUCUCUUCCCAGGGAAGACUCUGGAAGGCAGGUGACAGCUCCCAGAUGGAGGAUUCAGUCUGUUUAUACCAGUGGCAGGAGAAGGAUUUGGGGUUGGAGCCAAAAGGCAUUCCACCUAGGGUGGCGGAGGAGGCAGCUCUAGGUUCCUCCAGCAUCACCGGCUGGGAGUUUUCCAUCCUGCUGCCAACCAGAAGGCUGUCCUAGAAGGCCCAACUGUCCAGAGACUCAGCUCUGCUGGAGAAAUGCCUCCAUGGCCCAGGCAAGUGCCAAGGCCAGUUCAACCCUAAGAGGUACCCAGAGCAGGGAAACCUUUGCUCUCCACAGUAACAAGACCCAAAGGGGUACCAGAAGGCACCCACAAAAACACACACCACUGAGCCAGGGUAUAGUGGGGAGGGCCUGGGACCAGCCUAUUCUAAAAAACUAUGACUUCCUGUUA
Long non-coding RNA from Mesocricetus auratus (golden hamster), 959 nucleotides. RefSeq lists it as uncharacterized. NCBI's taxonomy places the organism in Eukaryota, Metazoa, Chordata, Mammalia, Rodentia, Cricetidae. The record is from RefSeq and is a predicted model, not a curated record. The transcript has 2 exons.